AAAUUGAAGAGUUUGAUCAUGGCUCAGAUUGAACGCUGGCGGCAGGCCUAACACAUGCAAGUCGAACGGUAACAGGAAGCAGCUUGCUGCUUUGCUGACGAGUGGCGGACGGGUGAGUAAUGUCUGGGAAACUUCCUGAUGGAGGGGGAUAACUACUGGAAACGGUGGCUAAUACCGCAUAACGUCGCAAGACCAAAGAGGGGGACCUUCGGGCCUCUUGCCAUCAGAUGUGCCCAGAUGGGAUUAGCUUGUUGGUGAGGUAACGGCUCACCAAGGCGACGAUCCCUAGCUGGUCUGAGAGGAUGACCAGCCACACUGGAACUGAGACACGGUCCAGACUCCUACGGGAGGCAGCAGUGGGGAAUAUUGCACAAUGGGCGCAAGCCUGAUGCAGCCAUGCCGCGUGUAUGAAGAAGGCCUUCGGGUUGUAAAGUACUUUCAGCGGGGAGGAAGGUGUUGUGGUUAAUAACCGCAGCAAUUGACGUUACCCGCAGAAGAAGCACCGGCUAACUCCGUGCCAGCAGCCGCGGUAAUACGGAGGGUGCAAGCGUUAAUCGGAAUUACUGGGCGUAAAGCGCACGCAGGCGGUCUGUCAAGUCGGAUGUGAAAUCCCCGGGCUCAACCUGGGAA
RNAcentral lists this ribosomal RNA (630 nucleotides) under Salmonella enterica. RNAcentral's name for it is "bacterial SSU rRNA". It matches the Rfam family "Bacterial small subunit ribosomal RNA", at positions 1 to 620 of the family's 1533-position model. Lineage: Bacteria; Pseudomonadati; Pseudomonadota; Gammaproteobacteria; Enterobacterales; Enterobacteriaceae. The record is from RNAcentral.